GGAGGGGCGGCCGGGCAGCGCCGCGGCGCUCCGCCGCUCGCCGGGUUGGGCACACAGGGCGCUGGGGCGCGGGCAGCCCCGCAUAGUCCCCUCGCCUCGCCCGCCCUCCUCCUCCUCCUCCGGGCCGGGCCGGGGCUGCCGCCCGCCGCUGGCCCCGCCGAGGCGCGGGGCGGGCGGCCGCCGCUUCAGCCCCGCGGGGGGAACGCCGGGCCCCCGCCGGGAGGGGACCGCUCCUCCAUGUCGCCUGGGCUGCUUCCUCCCCGCCACCCGCACGGCCACCGCUCCCCUCACGGCCGAACCUAAACCGGGGCCCUCACACUCGAGCGUCCUGACGCCGGGGGGGGCCGGUCCCGUUCCCCGUCGUCACCCCCCCCCCCCCCCCCCCCCCCCCCCCCCCCCCCCCCCUUCCCUCCCUCCCUCCCUCCCUCUCCCCGUUUCCCGGCGGGGUGGUGCCGCGCCGCCGCGGGGAGCUCGCCUGCCCUGGCGGGGGCCGGCCCGCCCGCCUGCGCGCCGCCGACAGCGGAGGGAGGGGAGCGGCGGGGACGCGCUCAGCCGCCGGCCGCCGCCACCAUCUUCCUCAGGGGAAGGGGGGUGCGCGCUCCCGCGGCGGGAACGCGCACCCCCCCACCCCCCCCGCUUCUUCCCGCCCAGGCUGAGGGAUGCGCGCGUGGCUGAGGGGAGCGGCUCGCGCCCCCGUCCCCUCAGAGCCGGCGGCGGGCGGGGAGGGUUGAGAGGGACAGGACCGGGGGUAAGACAGCGGGGAGCGGGUCCCUCAGGGCGUCCCUCUGCCUUCCCGGUGGGUUCCGCUGCCCUCAGGGCCCUUGUUUGUACCGGAGGGGGAGGGGGCGGGGAUGGGGGGGGGGACACAGGGAACGGCGGCCGCUGGCACGGCGGACAUUUGCCAUGCGCAAACAACAGGCACUUGGGCAAACAAUUUAAGCUCUCCGCAGCCUGCUGGAAACUUGCUGGCGGGUCUUUUUUAUUAUUUUAUUUAUUUAUUUAUUUUUCUCCUUGCGUCUCUUCCUAGCUUGUUUAUAAGUGACGCUAUCUGGCCGGCACCGCUCCCUCAGUUUUAUUAUCUCUUCCUCCCAGAGGGCCCGUUAUCGUUCCCUCCUUCGCUGGGUUCCUCUGGGCUCCCUCCGGCUUCUCCCUGGCCCUCCAUCCCAUUCCCCACGGGUGACAGUCCCACCACCUUCUCAGCCCUUCUCCCUGUUUCUUCCCAGGCCCUGCUGAGCCUCUCUCCUUCCACAUAUCCCAUUUACUCUUUUCCAGGUGAGCCUUUCCCAGCUGGAUGCCCCCCAAAGUGCUCAACUCCAGCUGUCCUUCUUCCAGCAGUGAGUCCCUUCUCCUCUGAAGACAGCACACUCUCAUUUACUGGUGCGAAGGAUGGUGAAACGGGACUGAAGAAGACAUCUGACUUGUCCAACCCCUCCUUUGGAAGUGUAGAAGAGAACAUUCUUCUCAGCUGUACCUGAGGUUUCACCUGCAUGGCUGCUGUCUAGGAAUACAGGUGACCCCCAUUACUCCAACCAGAGCAGAUACAUCUGAGCAGUUUAGCAAUGGUGUGACACACACGACAUGGAAGGCAUUGAGAAAGUACUGUAUCAAUUUUUAGUUUGUAGUUAAGAUGAUUUCUACAUGCCGGUGUCCUCUAAGCACGGAAAGAGUACACUCCUCCUGUCUGCAAAUGCAGGAACCAGUCAUUCUUUCAAUUUAUCACUGUGGCGGUGGGGUUAAGCCUUUGACAAAAGAAGAAAAACUAAUACAGGGCAAUUUGACCCCUGCUACAUUAGUGUGGGGACUGAAAUUGGGGUGGCCCAACACAGCCCAGUGAUCCUACUGCUGAUACAUGUAGUGUUUGUGUCGAUUAAAAACUGGUUUGAUUCUAAAGCGGUGGGUGCUGCACUUCGCUCUUGAUGACUUAAAGAUUUUAUUUACACUGCACAAAGAAAAGACUCCAGUAAAAGGUUAUUGUUGGGGCUUCAGACUCACGUACUUAAAAAUUACAAAGAGAUUACAUUGAUUUUAGCGUUUUGACGCUCUCAAAUGGUAUCUAUGGAGUGCUUGGUGCUGAGUAUUUGGGAUUUUUGCGAGGCUGUUGAUGGACCAUGAGUGUUGAAAGCUGAGCGUGAAUGCGUGUCUCUGCCACGGGCCCAGUUCUGUUUCCAGGGAACGAGAUGGGAAGAAAAUGUUGCUGAAAACACUAAAGCGCAGCAAUUUGGCAGAGAUGGUUAUCACAUCUCUGAGUCGUUUUUACCUGCGCUGCUGCCCUGACAACUGCAGUACAUUGUGGAAAUAAAACGUGAAGUCACUCAGGUCUGAGUUCUGCU
Molecule: long non-coding RNA, 2330 nt
Filed under: Calidris pygmaea (Spoon-billed sandpiper)
Lineage: Eukaryota; Metazoa; Chordata; Aves; Charadriiformes; Scolopacidae
Description: lncRNA (ENSCPGG00000005808.1)
Source: RNAcentral